This 293-nucleotide ribosomal RNA is filed under the name uncultured bacterium. Its description in RNAcentral is "partial 16S ribosomal RNA". The record is from RNAcentral.
GGACUACCGGGGUAUCUAAUCCUGUUCGCUCCCCACGCUUUCGCUCCUCAGCGUCAGUACCGGCCCAGAUCACCGCCUUCGCCACUGGUGUUCCUCCUGAUAUCUGCGCAUUUCACCGCUACACCAGGAAUUCCGUGAUCCCCUACCGGACUCUAGCCAUGGCAGUUUCGAGUGGCGUCCCCAGGUUAAGCCUGGGGGUUUCACACCCGACUUGCCAAGCCGCCUACGAGCUCUUUACGCCCAAUAAAUCCGGACAACGCUCGCCCCCUACGUAUUACCGCGGCUGCUGGCAC